CCCCGCCACUUCGUUUCACGUCUGCUUUCCCCCUGCAGCGUUUGUGUUUACUCGUUCUGCGGCAACAGUUUCCCUUCUUCUCCCACACACUCUCUCCACUUCCAUUCUUUCCAAGCCACUGGCUGGGGCCUUUAAUCGUCAGUGGCACCUGUCCCCUAGAGCCGUAAUGUCCCUCAUCCAUCAGUGGGGGAUGACGGGCUAUGUGCCUUCCCGACCCAACCGCCACCUCCCCAACCCCCUUUUCCAACGGCGGCAGGUGGGGAAGGGUUCACACUCUACCAGACCAGAGCGUGUGUGUAUGUGUGUGUGUUUUUGCCAUAGAAGCUGACACUCAUGGUCACUGGAUCUGGACUCUUAAUCAUCGAGGCCUCUCCUCCCCUACAGCCCUUCCUACACAUCCCCAGGGGGUGAAGAUGGGAGAGUAGAGGACACCCUGGACUGUCCCUCUGAAGGAUGACUCGUAUCCGAACUCAAUGGCGUCUACUAAUGUGGUGAUUGAUGCCGGUGAUCAACAGGAAAUCCUCCAGGUUUCUGUUUGAGGGUCCGUGAACACGGCUUGCCAGAGUUAAAUCAAUGUAUCGGAAAUUAAUUAAGAAUUAAAAAUCGGACUGUCAUCUCAAAUAUGAAAGUGAACCACUGCUUUAAACUGAUGUGGUUCCAAUUCCAAGUCUGAGAUUCUUAUAAUAUUUGAGUUGGAUUUAGUGAUUAUAUAGUGAUUAUAUGAUGAAUUCUACACCUUAAUGAGGGCUCAGGAAGUUUACUCUGUACUUCCUGUGGAUAUGUAUCUGUGGAGGAGAAGAUCAUGGAACACCUUGGAGGUUACUUUGCCUUCAGUAUUACAGAUACAAACAGAAAGAAGUGCAGCUUGGCACAACAACACAUAUAUUGUUGGAGAUGGUCAUCGGUGACUUAACAAAAUGUUUGUUAGCAACAGAAUUUGAGAUGACGUGCGGUCCACUUUCAAUCAAGCCUGCACCAUUGCUCGGCUCACUCCAAACUGGUCCUCAUGUGUCAGCAAAGACUUUAAACACUUCGUAUAAAAGGUGACACAAGUGUCCCUGACUCAGUUAUUGGUUAUGAUACUCAAUAGUCAUCUAAACCAGUUUAUUUGGUGUCCGUUUCUGGGUUUUUGUCUAAGAGCGUUAACCCUAGCACAUUAUGUUUUUAGUUCUUAAAAGUUAAUUGUAAUACUCUGGUUACCUAAAAAUUAUUAAUUGUCUGGUUGUAUGUAGCUCCAGCCUCUUAUGUCACUUUUGAUGUCCGGAAAAACAAGAUGGCGAUGGCUAAAUACCAAGAUGGCGACAGAGAGAAUUUCCAUUUCCUAGAUACAGUAGGUCCAGUAGUAUGUGAGAUUAACUACAAGCUGGCCUACAUGGCAACUACCUUCUAGGAUCCUUUAAAAGAGACCCAGGACAUGAGCAGGAAAAGAAUUCCAGUAGGAAAAUCGUUUGCUGGAGACACACUUGAGAAAAGAUGGGACUCUCAGCUUGGUUGGAUAUAAUCAGAGGAGCAUUUUGAUGUCCUUUUGCCCACGUUUUCCUCUUUUGUUGCCAUAGACGGCACUUUACCAUCAUUUUGUGCGAAUGUGCAUAGCUGUGGUGAAAAUACAACUAGAGAGAUCCAGCAGAGAUUAUCUGAGAAAUAUAAAGUACAUAAAUAUGAGAGAAUUAGAAACCGUAGGUUUUCUUCUGGGGCCUACUAACAUUUGUAGUUAGAUAAGGAGAUUUUUUUCCGAGGUAUACAGCAUAAGUUAAUCCAACUAUAAAUGCAGAAUAUGGUUAUACUGUAUUGUUAUGGUGUAAUACAAUAUGGCUUCAGUUUCCCAAGGUGACAAAAAGGUUAAAAAAAAGCCUGUGAGGAGACACGAAAAGGCUGCAAGUAGAGACAAAAGCCUGUGAGGAGACACAAAAGGCUACGAGGAGACGCAAAAGCCUGUGAGGAGACACGAAAAGUCUCUGAGGAGACACAAAAGCAUGUGAGGAGACA
Pseudoliparis swirei is the source of this 1986-nucleotide long non-coding RNA. RefSeq lists it as uncharacterized. Lineage: Eukaryota; Metazoa; Chordata; Actinopteri; Perciformes; Liparidae. The record is from RefSeq and is a predicted model, not a curated record. The transcript has 2 exons.